CGUUUUCUGAAUAAGUGUUCAGUUUCAACAAGUUUUUCUGUACAAGCUUCCUUGCCGGAGAAUAGCGAUAGAUUUAAAGUGGAAUACACUCCAUGGAUGAUUGUUGGAUUGGGUAACCCUGGAAAUAAGUACCAUGGAACUAGGCACAAUGUUGGUUUUGAAAUGAUAGAUAGUAUUUCCAAAAUGCAGGGCAUUGUGAUGAAUACAAUUCAGUCAAAGGCACUGGUUGGAAUAGUACAGGUUCCAUUGGAGAGGUACCAAUUUUGGUGGUGAAGCCUCAAGCUUACAUGAAUUAUAGUGGGGAAGCGAGUUUCUUUUGAGUUUCAGCAUAAUGUUUGUGGUAGAUCAAUAUAUGCAGAGGGUACAGUUGAUGCUGUAAUUUUCCUUGCUAAGAAGA
Molecule: long non-coding RNA, 397 nt
Organism: Rosa rugosa (rugosa rose)
Lineage: Eukaryota; Viridiplantae; Streptophyta; Magnoliopsida; Rosales; Rosaceae
Exons: 4
Source: RefSeq, a predicted model, not a curated record